GUUGGAUCUAAAACCAGAUGUCUUUGAAGAAACUAUCAGGUCUGGUAAGAAUAAGAGGAAACAAAAUGUUAUUGGCAUGCUCAAUAAUGAUAAAGCCAAGAUGUCACCUGCCAGUACAAUGAAGAGGGACUGGGGUCUUGGCACUAAAAGUCUCCCUGAAUUGCCAUCAUGUCAUGAAAAAUACUUUGUUUUAAACUUAAUGGAAUGGAUUGUCAUUUUGGUGGAUUUUUGCCAGUGAAGAAUUUAUCAGACUCAAUAGCCUCCAUCACUUGGCAGGACAGAAAGGCCUCGAAAGCCUCUUUCAGUAUCUCUGAGCAUACCUAACAUUUAGAAAGGUAGGCCUGUGUAGCAAGUGUGAAAGUGUUCCUCUCCAUGCCCUUACGGCUUUACUCAACCAUGUUUCCUCUUUUAUCAUUUAUUGGAAAAACCUUUUACUAUCUCUUCUUACUUCCUUUCCUUUGUUAGCUACAAAGGGAAGAUUUUCUUUUGCAAAUCCUUAGUAAUUAAAUGAGCACUUCAGUGGCUGUAGCCCUCAAUGGCCUGUUUCCUAGGUUUUGCCUUUGACAGUCAUAUUUUGCAAAGGCCCCUGAGAUGACUCUGCAUCUUCCCCUACUCAACGCUAAACCAACUGAAGCCCGUGCUCACUGCAUGAAGGAGGAAAAGAUUCAUUAAGGGCACUUCAUUAAGAGGCUGAAAUGGGAAGCUCUAAAUGCGCCUGAACCAACUACAAUCCAGAGAAGCUGUCUAUUAGGAGUGCCACAAAGACAGUUUCGGAAGCUAAACUCCAGCUCCAGUGCAUCGGAUUAGGAAGAGUGAUGGGAUUAGUGUUUAAUGACUUGGGGCAGGAGACAAAGGGAAUUUCGACAAAGAGGCUUAGAUAUGGAAGAAUUAACACUCUGUAUUCCAACCAGGCCUCUGAUGACUUCCAGCAUUCUUUUCAGACUCAAAAGCCAAGGGAAGGGAAUAAAAAAAAAAAAAAGAUGUGCAAAGCUUUAAUACUUUUCUAACUUUUUUUAUUGCAACAACAAUACAGAGGAAAUAAAAGAACCCUAUUCACUCCUUUGGACUUGAAACCUCUUUUAAAAAUAAGCAUCUACAAUUGUAUAAUUAGCCCCAAGGUGAGCUUGCCCAGGGCCUCAAACAUGUGCCAGAAUGCUUCUCUGCUUCCUAAUGCUAGGGCAAGUCACAAACUGAUGUGGACACUAAAGCAAAACCUAUGGUAGCAGAGGCCCAGCUAAGUGGCUGUACAAGAUUUUUUUCUCUCCAUGGCUGUUUAUGUUACAGGUGCAACUGAAGGAACAGAGAAACUGUGUAAUUGUAAAACCUCCUUGUGGCCCCACAUGGCUCAUACUCAAAUGAUUCCAGUGUCUAUGGCCUGAGAAGUGCUUCAUGAAAUGAGGAACAGUGCCUCAAGUCAGAGAUUGGCAUGGUGAGUCGCCGGGAGGUGGAAAAGAGGCACAGCUUCAUUGAAGCUACAGUUGGCUGCAAGGAACCAUUUCAAAUCAUCUUAGUUCUACGGGGCCAUUCAGGUGGCAAAGGCCCAGGUAACAUUUGAUCAAGUUGCUACAGGGCUUGGACCUACUUUUAUUGCCCCUUACUUUUCCCACUAACAUUUUUGCUUGAAAUAUCGAUGUUUUUUUGGUGCAGCAAAACUCUUUUCCCACAGCUAAAUUGAAGUAGGGCAUAUGUGCUUCCCUCACCUCGCUCCCAGUCCCUCUUGACCCCGAAAUGGUCUAGCAGCCUGUGCUUUGUUAAACUGAAAAUGUGUAGAAAUUUUUAUAGAGAUAUUCAGCUAUAUAAAUAGCUUUGAAAUUUGUCAUAACUUUAAAAACAGGUCAAAAAGGAAAUUGAACAGCUAGUGAGUUUCUGUCUUAGUCCGUUUUGUGCUGCUAUAACAGAAUACCAUAAACUAGGUAAUUUAUAAACAAUAGAAGUUUAUUUGUCUCAAUGGCCAACAAGCAUAUGGAAAAAUGUUCAACAUCACUAAUUAUCAGGGAAAUACAAAUCAAAACCACAGUGCGAUACCACGUAACUUCUGCAAUAAUGGUCAUAAUCAAAAAAUAAUAAUAAAUAAAUAGAUGUUGGCAUGGAUAUGGUGAAAAGGGAACACUUUUACUGGGUUGGUGGGAAUGUAAACUAGCACAACCACUAUAGAAAACAGUAUGGAGACUCCUUAAAGAACUAAAAGUAGACCUACCAUUUGACCUAGCAACCCCACUGCUAUGUAUCUGCUCAGAAGUAAAGAAGUCAUUAUACAAAAAAGACACUUGUUACAUGCAUGUAUAUAGCAGUACAAUUGCCCAAAUGCCCAUCAAUCAAUGAGUGGAUAAAAAAUGUUAUAUACAUACAUAUAUGUGUGUGUAUAUAUACAUAUACAUAUACACACACACACACAUACACACACACACACACACACACACACAUAUACCAUGGAAUACUGCUCAGCCAAAGAAAGGAAUGAAAUAAUGGGAUUUGCAGCAACCUGGAUGGAAUUGGAGGCUAUUAUUCUAAGUGAAGUAACUCAGGAAUAGAUAACCAAACAUACAUGUUCUCACUCAUAUGUGGGAACUAAGCUAUGAGAAUGCAAAGGCAUAAGAAUGAUAUAUUGGAGUUUGGAGACUCAAAGGAAAGAGUGGGGGAGAGGGAGGGAUAAAAGACUACACAUUGGGUACAGUAUACAAUGCUUGAGUGAUGGGUGCAACAAAAUCUCAGAAAUCCCCACUAAUGAGCAUAUUCAUGUAACAAAAUACCAUCUGUUCCCCAAAACUUAUUGAAAUAAAAAAUAAAAAAUUAAUGAUAAUAACAAUAAAAAGAAGUUUAUUUGUCUUAUGUUUCUGGAGGCCAGGAAGUCCAAGAUCAAGGGGUUGCAUCUAGUGGGGGUCUUCUUGCUGAGUCAUAACCUGGCAGAAGACAUCACAUGAAGAGAGAAUGGAUGAGAGCCAGCAAGCAAGAGAGGGCCAAACUUGCUUUUAUAACAAACCCAUUCCUGACAUCAUGAACUUACCCCUGCCAUAAUGACAUUAAUCCAUUCCAGGGGGCAAAGCUCUCAUGACCUAAUCACCUCUCAAAAGUGCCACCUCUCGAUGCUGUUGCAUUGGGGAUUAAGUUUCCAACACAUGAACUCUGGGGAGAUGCAUUCAAACCUUAGCAGUUUAA
This 3156-nucleotide long non-coding RNA is filed under the name Homo sapiens (human). RNAcentral describes it as "HSALNT0033011". Lineage: Eukaryota; Metazoa; Chordata; Mammalia; Primates; Hominidae. The record is from RNAcentral.